GCCUCUGUAGUUUAAUGGUAGAACGAAUUCCUUGUGAGUAUUAGACCCUGGUUCAAUUCCAGGCGGAGGCU
This 71-nucleotide transfer RNA is filed under the name Marseillevirus LCMAC202. Its description in RNAcentral is "tRNA-Thr". It matches the Rfam family "tRNA". From Rfam's summary of the family: Transfer RNA (tRNA) molecules are approximately 80 nucleotides in length. Their secondary structure includes four short double-helical elements and three loops (D, anti-codon, and T loops). Further hydrogen bonds mediate the characteristic L-shaped molecular structure. tRNAs have two regions of fundamental functional importance: the anti-codon, which is responsible for specific mRNA codon recognition, and the 3' end, to which the tRNAs corresponding amino acid is attached (by aminoacyl-tRNA synthetases). tRNAs cope with the degeneracy of the genetic code in two manners: having more than one tRNA (with a specific anti-codon) for a particular amino acid; and 'wobble' base-pairing, i.e. permitting non-standard base-pairing at the 3rd anti-codon position. Lineage: Varidnaviria; Bamfordvirae; Nucleocytoviricota; Megaviricetes; Pimascovirales; Marseilleviridae. The record is from RNAcentral.